UACGAAGGGGGCUAGCGUUGUUCGGAAUCACUGGGCGUAAAGGGCGCGUAGGCGGCUUUAUAAGUCGGGGGUGAAAGCCUGUGGCUCAACCACAGAAUUGCCUUCGAUACUGUAGAGCUUGAGACCGGAAGAGGUAAGUGGAACUGCGAGUGUAGAGGUGAAAUUCGUAGAUAUUCGCAAGAACACCAGUGGCGAAGGCGGCUCACUGGACUGGUAUUGACGCUGAGGUGCGAAAGCGUGGGGAGCAAACAGG
Molecule: ribosomal RNA, 253 nt
Filed under: uncultured bacterium
Lineage: Bacteria
Description: partial 16S ribosomal RNA
Rfam family: Bacterial small subunit ribosomal RNA
Source: RNAcentral